AAAAAGACAAACCCUGGUUUCCGUGUCUAACGUUUGACCGUCCGUCUUAUUUGAAAAAAUUAUGAAAAAAAUUAAAAAUAUAAGUCACGCAUAAAGUAUUAAUCAUGUUUUAUCAUCUAACAACAAUAAAAAUAUUAAUUAUAAAAAAAUUUCAUAUAAGACGGACAGUCAAACGUUGGCACGGGAACCCAUGGUUUGCCUUUUU
RNAcentral lists this microRNA precursor (205 nucleotides) under Oryza glumipatula. RNAcentral describes it as "MIR812 microRNA precursor family". It matches the Rfam family "MIR812 microRNA precursor family". The record is from Rfam by way of RNAcentral. Lineage: Eukaryota; Viridiplantae; Streptophyta; Magnoliopsida; Poales; Poaceae.